ACCUUUCUGGUUCAGUUGGUGGAACGUGCGACUCUUGAUCUUGGCAUUGUGAGUUCAAGCCCCACGAUGGGUG
This 73-nucleotide transfer RNA is filed under the name Felis catus (domestic cat). It matches the Rfam family "tRNA". Rfam says of the family: Transfer RNA (tRNA) molecules are approximately 80 nucleotides in length. Their secondary structure includes four short double-helical elements and three loops (D, anti-codon, and T loops). Lineage: Eukaryota; Metazoa; Chordata; Mammalia; Carnivora; Felidae. The record is from Rfam by way of RNAcentral.